ACGAUUGAGUUGGAAUGGAAUACCCCAUCGUUAUCGUGCCGACGCCUGGAAAAUCAUGCUUGGGUACGUUCCCGUCA
Molecule: non-coding RNA, 77 nt
Filed under: Astrosyne radiata
Lineage: Eukaryota; Bacillariophyta; Fragilariophyceae; Cyclophorales; Cyclophoraceae
Source: RNAcentral